This 300-nucleotide long non-coding RNA is filed under the name Olea europaea (common olive). Its description in RNAcentral is "long non-coding RNA (OEUR_LNC011339)". Lineage: Eukaryota; Viridiplantae; Streptophyta; Magnoliopsida; Lamiales; Oleaceae. The record is from RNAcentral.
CAAGCUAAAAUGGACGACUGCAGGGCGAGAAUGGCUGCUAAAAAGCGCAACGCCUCCCAGGGAAUUGAGCGAACUAAGUCCUUGGUCGAGCAGUACAAGAAGUUGGAAGUUGAUGAUGAUGAUGUCGCGGCUGAAUUGAACAUCACUUCCUCUCGGCAGAACGAGGAUUGGUAAAAACUUAGGGAACGAAUUCGUUCCAUAUGGGGUAGACUGUAAUUAAGACAUGCGAUGUCUUUUUUUUCUUUUGUAAUUCGAUUUUUCUUUGUAACUUUGUUCAUCCUUAAUGAACAUUAACUUUUG